Triticum aestivum (bread wheat) is the source of this 1119-nucleotide long non-coding RNA. RefSeq lists it as uncharacterized. NCBI's taxonomy places the organism in Eukaryota, Viridiplantae, Streptophyta, Magnoliopsida, Poales, Poaceae. The record is from RefSeq and is a predicted model, not a curated record. The transcript is spliced from 3 exons.
GUAUUUAACGUACCACUUAACAAUAAUUAAACCAAUUGCUCGUAAUAUGAUUAAGGCAUGUGAUUAAUCUGUUUGGCUGAAUUUAUUCACAGGGAAAAUCAUCAGGUUGUGAGCAGAUGUCUAAAUGAUCUGUUUCCAUUGCACAUAUGUCAAUAAGCAAUACAAAUUAGCGACCUUUUAAAUUAAGGGCGCUAUCCUUUCUUCUGGUCAAUUACCUAGUGUUAAUGUCUUAUCUUGUAUGUACAACAUGUUAUUCUCUGUUCAGCUCACUGGCAUGACCAAUGUUAAUUAUUCAGUACGCUAAUGAAAUUCAAAAAUAAAAAAGCAUGUUAUAUGAUUAAUUUAAUUUUCUUGUUUCAUGCAGUUUGGAGAAAUUCGUGGUUACCACCAGUCUCGAGUUAGAUUUAUUUCAAUUGCAACCAGGCAGAGUGUUGUGAAUUUGAAUUUGGGUGUGCAUGAUCUUACUAGCUUCUAAUUCUACGGAGCCAUACGGAUGAUGGUGUGUUUGCUCUCACACAUUUAUUCAAAGGAUCAUUGUGAUGAAUGAUACCAAUUCUAGGUUGCUGGAACUUGCAUCCAAUCCUUCUAUUCCCAACUGAUGAGUUUAUAGGUUGCAGUGUUUGUGGUGGUCUCCUCCUGAUGGAGCUCAGUAUAUGCCCUUCUUGUUUACCUAAAAAUCUCUUCUCUCCUAAGAUCUUGUAGGAAUCUUUCUUUUUUCCUUAAGAAGCAUGCUACCAAUGGACGCCAGAUGUUCCAGCACCGAAAAGUUGGUGACCAUGCUUGGGUGUUUCAGAAUUCAUAUGAAAAGCAUUUAUUUUUUACUUUCAGGGAUUGCUCCAUCUUGCAGUUUCUAAUAUGGCUGGACAAUUACGAUUUCACAUAUAUCUGAAAAACCACAGCCCAUCUGUGUUCUAUAAACGUUGGUGUGGUCUUAUGUGCACCAAGAAUUCUGUCAUUAACAUAAGGUAUUUUACACCCGCACUGCAAACUGUUGAUAAAUCUGAUGUGUUGCUUGCACUGAGAAUUCUUACAUUUGCGUAAGGUAUUUUACACUGGCGUUGUGAACUCAUUGACAAUUAGCAUUCAUCAGCUAAGCACACCUCGAUGUACGCAGCCUGU